RNAcentral lists this ribosomal RNA (253 nucleotides) under uncultured bacterium. RNAcentral describes it as "partial 16S ribosomal RNA". It matches the Rfam family "Bacterial small subunit ribosomal RNA", at positions 524 to 776 of the family's 1533-position model. The record is from RNAcentral.
UACGUAGGUGGCAAGCGUUGUCCGGAUUUACUGGGCGUAAAGAGCGCGCAGGCGGUCGUUCAAGUCGCGUGUGAAAGCCCCCGGCUCAACUGGGGAGAGUCACGCGAUACUGAUCGACUCGAAGGCAGGAGAGGGUAGUGGAAUUCCCGGUGUAGUGGUGAAAUGCGUAGAUAUCGGGAGGAACACCAGUGGCGAAGGCGACUUCCUGGCCUGUUCUUGACGCUGAGGCGCGAAAGCUAGGGUAGCAAACGGG